Long non-coding RNA from Sander lucioperca (pikeperch), 204 nucleotides. RefSeq lists it as uncharacterized. The record is from RefSeq and is a predicted model, not a curated record. Lineage: Eukaryota; Metazoa; Chordata; Actinopteri; Perciformes; Percidae. The transcript is spliced from 3 exons.
CCUGUGCGAAUAGGGACUAUGUAUGAAAAUGAGUGUAAUUCCUAAACCCUUCCUCCAAUUUUGAUGUAAAUACCCUCAAAUUAAACCUGGAAGUCUGCUCUACAAUUUCAUCUUGAUGAUUUAAUUUCAAAUUAAUUGUGUUAGCGCACAGGGCAUAAAUUAUGAAAAUUGUAUCACUGUCCAAAUAUUUUCGAACCUAACUGU